This 253-nucleotide ribosomal RNA is filed under the name uncultured bacterium. RNAcentral's name for it is "partial 16S ribosomal RNA". It matches the Rfam family "Bacterial small subunit ribosomal RNA", at positions 524 to 776 of the family's 1533-position model. The record is from RNAcentral.
UACGAAGGGGGCUAGCGUUGCUCGGAAUCACUGGGCGUAAAGCGCACGUAGGCGGACUCUUAAGUCGGGGGUGAAAUCCUGGAGCUCAACUCCAGAACUGCCUUCGAUACUGGGAGUCUUGAGUUCGGGAGAGGUGAGUGGAACUGCGAGUGUAGAGGUGAAAUUCGUAGAUAUUCGCAAGAACACCAGUGGCGAAGGCGGCUCACUGGCCCGAUACUGACGCUGAGGUGCGAAGGCGUGGGGAGCAAACAGG